RNAcentral lists this ribosomal RNA (253 nucleotides) under uncultured bacterium. RNAcentral describes it as "partial 16S ribosomal RNA". It matches the Rfam family "Bacterial small subunit ribosomal RNA", at positions 524 to 776 of the family's 1533-position model. The record is from RNAcentral.
UACAGAGGUGGCAAGCGUUGUUCGGAAUUACUGGGCGUAAAGGGCGCGUAGGCGGUUUUGUAAGUCAGACGUGAAAUCCCCAGGCUUAACUUGGGAACUGCGUCUGAUACUGCAAAACUUGAGUGCGGGAGAGGGAUGUGGAAUUCCAGGUGUAGCGGUGAAAUGCGUAGAUAUCUGGAGGAACACCGGUGGCGAAGGCGGCAUUCUGGACCAACACUGACGCUGAGGAGCGAAAGCCAGGGGAGCAAACGGG